AUGAAAUUGGCAGUAUGCCACCAACGUGGUUAAUCUGGGUCAACAUUGUUUGAAGGGGGACAUGGUUUACUGUUCUGGAGUUAAAAAUGUUAAUGCAUCUUUAGUCGCUAUGGAUUUAUCAGUGGAGGAAGGAAGUCUAAAGUACAGGUUGAAAAUGUUAAGUGUCUCUUUGGUAUUGCCAUGGAUUUACAUGCAUCAGUAUGAAUUUGGCAAUCAAGUACAGUUCAUAAGCAAACAUGAAGGCCAAAUAAGUCCUUUGAACUGGGUAAAAAGAAAAUUUGUAAAGACACCGGUACAGUUACUGUUGUGGAAGUUUAUUGGGCCAUAUCUUCAGGUGGGUCAGUGGUAAUACCAUUUAAUAUGUCAAAGUGAAGAAGUUCCUAUGGAGUUGGUUUAUAACCAGGAAUCUCAAUUGCACUGAAUAUUCGUUUAGUUUGUCCAUCAGAACCAUCAGGUUUUCUGAUUCGAAUAAAGAUUUUACC
This is a long non-coding RNA of Patella vulgata (common limpet), 482 nucleotides long. RefSeq lists it as uncharacterized. The record is from RefSeq and is a predicted model, not a curated record. Lineage: Eukaryota; Metazoa; Mollusca; Gastropoda; Patellidae. The transcript has 4 exons.